Molecule: non-coding RNA, 23 nt
Filed under: Arabidopsis thaliana (thale cress)
Lineage: Eukaryota; Viridiplantae; Streptophyta; Magnoliopsida; Brassicales; Brassicaceae
Source: RNAcentral
GACGGAAAGGUGGGUACUAAGUU